RNAcentral lists this ribosomal RNA (253 nucleotides) under uncultured bacterium. RNAcentral's name for it is "partial 16S ribosomal RNA". It matches the Rfam family "Bacterial small subunit ribosomal RNA", at positions 524 to 776 of the family's 1533-position model. The record is from RNAcentral.
UACGUAGGGUGCGAGCGUUAAUCGGAAUUACUGGGCGUAAAGCGUGCGCAGGCGGUUUUGUAAGCCAGAUGUGAAAGCCCCGGGCUUAACCUGGGAAUGGCAUUUGGGACUGCAAGGCUUGAGUGCGGCAGAGGAGACUGGAAUUCCUGGUGUAGCAGUGAAAUGCGCAGAUAUCAGGAAGAACACCCGUGGCGAAGGCGGCUUUCUGGGACGGUACUGACGCUGAGACGCGAAAGCGUGGGGAGCGAACAGG